This 152-nucleotide long non-coding RNA is filed under the name Ictidomys tridecemlineatus (thirteen-lined ground squirrel). RNAcentral's name for it is "lncRNA (ENSSTOG00000031013.1)". The record is from RNAcentral. Lineage: Eukaryota; Metazoa; Chordata; Mammalia; Rodentia; Sciuridae.
AUCUUAUCAAUGUAUGUUUUCCACUAUCACAGAUUUCACCAAGAUAGCCUUGAGAAAAAACUUGACAAGAAGAAAUAAUCAAGCUAUAUUCUACUGUUAUGUAUAAGAACCAAGAAAGUAAAAAUAAGGAAUAAAAAUAUAGUAGAAAUAAU